UGCAGUCGAGCGGACAGAUGGGAGCUUGCUCCCUGAUGUUAGCGGCGGACGGGUGAGUAACACGUGGGUAACCUGCCUGUAAGACUGGGAUAACUCCGGGAAACCGGGGCUAAUACCGGAUGCUUGUUUGAACCGCAUGGUUCAAACAUAAAAGGUGGCUUCGGCUACCACUUACAGAUGGACCCGCGGCGCAUUAGCUAGUUGGUGAGGUAAUGGCUCACCAAGGCGACGAUGCGUAGCCAACCUGAGAGGGUGAUCGGCCACACUGGGACUGAGACACGGCCCAGACUCCUACGGGAGGCAGCAGUAGGGAAUCUUCCGCAAUGGACGAAAGUCUGACGGAGCAACGCCGCGUGAGUGAUGAAGGUUUUCGGAUCGUAAAGCUCUGUUGUUAGGGAAGAACAAGUACCGUUCGAAUAGGGCGGUACCUUGACGGUACCUAACCAGAAAGCCACGGCUAACUACGUGCCAGCAGCCGCGGUAAUACGUAGGUGGCAAGCGUUGUCCGGAAUUAUUGGGCGUAAAGGGCUCGCAGGCGGUUUCUUAAGUCUGAUGUGAAAGCCCCCGGCUCAACCGGGGAGGGUCAUUGGAAACUGGGGAACUUGAGUGCAGAAGAGGAGAGUGGAAUUCCACGUGUAGCGGUGAAAUGCGUAGAGAUGUGGAGGAACACCAGUGGCGAAGGCGACUCUCUGGUCUGUAACUGACGCUGAGGAGCGAAAGCGUGGGGAGCGAACAGGAUUAGAUACCCUGGUAGUCCACGCCGUAAACGAUGAGUGCUAAGUGUUAAGGGGGUUUCCGCCCCUUAGUGCUGCAGCUAACGCAUUAAGCACUCCGCCUGGGGGAGUACGGUCGCAAGACUGAAACUCAAAGGAAUUGACGGGGGCCCGCACAAGCGGUGGAACAUGUGGUUUAAUUCGAAGCAACGCGAAGAACCUUACCAGGUCUUGACAUCCUCUGACAAUCCUAGAGAUAGGACGUCCCCUUCGGGGGCAGAGUGACAGGUGGUGCAUGGUUGUCGUCAGCUCGUGUCGUGAGAUGUUGGGGUUAAGUCCCGCAACGAGCGCAACCCUUGAUCUUAGUUGCCAGCAUUCAGUUGGGCACUCUAAGGUGACUG
Molecule: ribosomal RNA, 1114 nt
Filed under: Bacillus sp. (in: firmicutes)
Lineage: Bacteria; Bacillati; Bacillota; Bacilli; Caryophanales; Bacillaceae
Description: bacterial SSU rRNA
Rfam family: Bacterial small subunit ribosomal RNA
Source: RNAcentral